RNAcentral lists this ribosomal RNA (253 nucleotides) under uncultured bacterium. RNAcentral's name for it is "partial 16S ribosomal RNA". It matches the Rfam family "Bacterial small subunit ribosomal RNA", at positions 524 to 776 of the family's 1533-position model. The record is from RNAcentral.
UACGUAGGUGGCAAGCGUUGUCCGGAAUUACUGGGCGUAAAGGGCGUGUAGGCGGCCUUUUAAGUCAGACGUGAAAUCUCCAGGCUUAACCUGGAAACUGCGUUUGAAACUGGAGGGCUUGAGGACCGGAGAGGGUAGUGGAAUUCCCAGUGUAGCGGUGAAAUGCGUAGAUAUUGGGAGGAACACCAGUGGCGAAGGCGACUGCCUGGACGGCACCUGACGCUGAGGCGCGAAAGCUAGGGGAGCAAACGGG